AAUUCUGCUGAUAUAGAACAUAUCAGGUGGAUCACCUUUCUAAGCUUAGCCCCAACUAGCAUGACCAAUUCAUCAGAAGCCAGACCAUUUCAAUAUGUCACUGCAAUGCAUGUCUCUCAGGGCAGCUGGCUAAAAACCAUAACUUUAACAAAUUGAAAAAGCUCAGUUGUAAGACAAAGAAAACAACAUAAUGGAGAGAACAAUAAAAUAACAUAGUAGACAAUAAAUAACCCAUGAUUAGAGUGAGAUUGCAUUUUUGGACAGAAUACAUUGGCAAAUAGAAAAUUUUAGCCUGAUCAAAUCAGGCAAUUUCCUCUGAAGAGGUCAUCCUCUUCUACAGUGCUGUGGCCAAGGCUGCAUCUUUACUGCAGUUUGACACCACUUUAACUGUCAUGGCUCAAUGCUAUGGAGUCCUGGGAUUUGUGGUUUUGUUAGGUAUUGACACUCUUGGGCAGAGAACAGUGAAGGCCUUAUAAAGCUACGACUCCCAUGAGACCACAGCGUUGAACGAUGGCAGUUUUAAUGGUGUCAAACUGUAUAUAUUAAUGAAUUGAUUUAGAGAUUUUCCUCCACCUAACACCAGUCAGGAUAGUCAAGAGAGUGGUCUCUAAUAAAGAACAGAUGGCAGAAGCAAACUCUAGCACAAGUUAAACACUACUAUGUCUUUCAAUCGAUAUUUUAAAUAUUUGUUCACUUCCUCAUUUGUGAGAGGUUGUCUUUAGAGUGUAUUGUAUGCAUUCUGGAGUUUGGCAAACAACCAGCAUCAAUUUGCAAAUACCCAGCAGUGGUUCAUCCGUACCCAGUUUAUGAAUAAAUAGGCCUCCAGUUCAUUUUGAACACAAUCCCUUUGCUGCCAAGUCAUCUUCUUUUAGAAGCAAAAUGGGGGGCAGGGAAGGACAUCUCCACAUGCCAAAAGCUUCUCGUGUUUCCAGGCAUUGUAUUGGCACUAGAAACGGGAGCCUUGGAAAUAUAUCUCAGUGAGGGGAAAAAUAUAUAUUUGCCUGAAGCUCAACCCAGUCAGAAUGGAGGAAAAUAUUAAACACUAUGAAUAAAUUAUUGUUUGAACAAACACUAAAUGAUAGAAGCAUCUAAGCUGCUUUUGUUUCAUACAUUCCCCUCUAAAUAAAUAAAAUAAACCACCGUUUACAUCCAUAAGCAAAAUGAAUUAUUUUUGAGGCAACAUGAUGGGGGCAGCUCUACACAAUUUGUGGUACCCAUCCUUUACAAUUAGAAGGGUUUGAAUAUGCAGUCAACCAAGCUUUUAAAUUGGCUGAACACUCUGAACCACUUUAUUUAUGUUCUUUCCAAGGGUUAGAAAAGACACUAGGAAGUGAACCAUGAUUCCAAUGGAGCAGAGCCAGAAACAUUCAUAAUUAUUACUCUCUUUAUUCUGUCACUGUACUUUUACAUUGGCUGUUUGCUGGAAAUUCCAAAUUUAGAAACUUGAAAAACUAAUUAGAAAUCCAAUUACUAACAUUAGAAAGCUCUGACCUGUAAAAACACACACAGAGACUCCUGUAUGCCAAAAAUAGUCUCUAAAUCUGUUGCAUUCUUGUGAGAAUUAUGACAACGUGACAACAAGUUUUAGGGAACAUUGAAAGCCUGUGUGUGAAUAACAUAAACAUACACUCCAGUUUACAUGCAACCCUUACAGUAUGUUGUGUUAUACAGCAAAAAUGACCUGUGAAUUAUUAACAAGCAAAAACAGCAUUGCAGAUGGAGAAAACUUGGUUUUGCAAAUUCUUGGUACUAACAUUUGACAAUUUGAGUAUCUCCAAUGUGAGAACAAGAGUCAAAGGGUUUAUUUAAACGUCUUCUAUAAAUCUGUGCUGCUUCACCAAGCAAGGGAGUGCUUAUAGUCUUCUGUGUAAUGUUGGAUUAAAGACGUCCAUUUGCCUGCCUGAAAUAUUGAUAAAAAUUAAAAACUGGACUCUUACUAUGGCUUUGUGCUGGCAUUUGUUGUUCAUUGUCAUUAAGUUAGCUUUCAGCUAUGGCAGUCCUAUGAAUUACUACCAUAAGUGAAAACUGAGUAAAUGACAAUCAACAUCUAUUUUACAUCUACAGUUGUCUUCUGUAUUUUGAAUUGGGAGAAGGGAGGCUUGUAUUAAUACAUUUGAAACUGUUAUCAGAUUGGAUUGGAUUUUUUCAAUUGCCUUUUGCAGGAGUAUGGCUGACAAGGAGCUCUGGUGUGGGUCAUGAGGUCACGAAGUGUCGGAAGUGACUGAACGAAUAAACAACAAAAAGUAUGUAAUGCCUAUAGUUUGUUUAGUCCAAUACAGGUUAAUUAUGAAUUUUACCAGUGAAUGUACAAUAUUGUAUCAGCUAAUCCCUAGAGUUGCAGCACUUUCCUUUUUUAUUUUAUGUUGUGGGUGUGGUAACAGGCCUGAACCCAUGGUUAGGAAUCCUAAAAGAGAAGGGAAUUCAGGAUGGAUGGAAGUUUCUUAAAAGUGAGAUUUUGAAGGCACAAUUUCAAAGAGUUUGAAUGGGGAGGGCAAAUGGUAGGUAAUACAGAAGCAAAGAGAAAGAAAAAAGUAAAGAAAAGCCAAUGCAAUGUUAGGCCACAUUUAUAGUAGACAAAUUUCUAGAUCAAGAGAAAUGAUGGUACCACUCUAUUCUGCUUUCAGAUUUAAAAAUAAUAAUGAAAUGCCAAUUGAUCCUCAGAGUGCUCUGCCAGCCCUAACCCUCCUUAAGUUAAUAUGCCAUUGAUUCUUUAUAUUAUUUUUCCUGUACCCUCAGUAAUUUUGUAGAAUUAAUUUUUGGAAUUAUGUUUUGUUUAAAAUUGCUAAGAGCUUGCCCUAAUGUGUCUGUAACUCUUCGUUGCAUAUGCACCCAUCCAAAAAAUGAGAAAGGCGAGACCCCCCCUUUUUUUGCAACUGGAAAAAGAAAGAGGGCCAAAAUUUGAGUCUGUAUUUCCAGAGCAUGUAAAUAGCCAUUAUGGGUAGGUCCUAGGACUUGUAGUCCCCAAAGGUAACCUUUCAAAGCUCUACAUGCCUUCAAUAGAGAUGCAAUUAGGAUACUAUUGAGGGAGGACCAGGAAUAGAAGGUUAAGGCCAGUAUCACCCAGGGCUACAGCUAUGGGGAGGAUCAAAAUGAGGGUAUGGCUCCACACAGAAGAAUUCUACCACUCCAUGAAUUUAGCUUUCAGUAUCCACAUUUUUAGUCCUGAAAAAAUUUCUAUCCUAUAACUUUUUUUAUUUGCUAUGCUCACAUUUCCAUCGUAACUUUGCUUAUCUAUUUUCUUUGGAAACCACUUUGAGUCCCCCCAGGGGUGAGAAAAGCGGUAUAGAAAUGCAGAUAAAAUAAUAAUAAUAAUAAUAAUAAUAAUAAUAAUAAUAAUAAUAAUCUGAAUUUCUAAAUGCUCCACUGAGAUUUAAGUAAUUCCAAUGCUUAAAAUUUGGGGAGUGAAAAAAAAAAUAGGCAGGUGAGGGCAUAAUAUGUAUGUCUACUCCCACUUCACAUAGCUACACCCCUGGGGUCCCCAUCAAGCAGCUGCUUUAAUCCCACUGUCAUGGCAGGGCCUAACUUCAGUUUCCAAUUCAUUUAUAUAUCCUGACCUGGUGAUUUGAGUAACCUUGUGUGUUGUGUUUAAUUUUUGCAUUCCACAAGGUAGUGUCACAGCAGGACACUGAUGGAAAUUAAAUUGGCAGUUAGACUUAACUGCUGUUGCCUGGCACUAUUGCGAGGUAAGUCCAGGACUCACUGAAGGACGAGUAGGCCAACAAAGGGAAGAUUUGCCAGGUACCCUUCAAAUCUGAAGCUGGCUCUGUGCAAGGGAGUGUUUAACAUUCCCCAACUGAUCUUUCCACCUUGGUAUGCCACACAACUCAAAAUAAGUCUGCCUGGACUCACUGCUGACAUGAGAGAAAGGACCAGGAACUGGUUUUUAACAUAAUUAGUUUUAAUAUGCUUUAUCACAGGGGUCCCCAAACUAAGGCCCGGGGGCCACAUGCAGCCCAUCGAAGCCAUUUAUCCGGCCCCCGAUGCGGCGGUGGCUCCCUCCUCCUCCACUGAGGAAGGCACGGGCAGUCCGGUGUGCGCCUUCCAAAGCUUUGCUUGUUUAUAAUGGUAUUUUAAUUAUUAUUUAAUUAAUUAUUAAUUAAUUAUUAAGGGGUGCUUUGCUAGUGAUUUUGGUGCACAAAGGUAGACGGGGGUUGGAUUAAAUGGCCCAAGGGGUCUCAUCCAACCCUCUUUAUUAUUAUUAUUAUUAUUAUUAUUAUUAUUGACAGAAGGACACAGUAUAACACAGCAAACGAGAUAUUAUUGCUGGAUUUUGUAUCACAAAAUCACAAGUUGAACACUUCCCAAGCAUUUAGGACUGUGUGAUUUUUUAUUAUUAUUAUUAUUAUUAUUAUUAUUAUUAUUAUUAUUAUUAUUAUUAAAAGCAACAUUGAGGCUGGGUGGACAUUUGUUGGACUAAAUGGCCCAAGGGGUCUCUUCCAACCCUCUUUAUUAUUUUUAUUAUGAUUAUGAUUACGAUUAACAUUAAGGCUAUAUUUGUUCCCAUUUUGUUUGUUUUUUACUUCAAAAUAAGAUUUGUGCAGUGUGAAUGGAAAUUUAUUCGUAUUUUUUUUUUAAACUAUUGUCCGGCCCUCCAACGGUCUGAGGGACCAUGAACUGGCCUCCUGUUUAAAAGGUUUGGGGACCCCUGCUUUAUCAUGUAUUGUUGUUUAAUUUUUGCAUUUUUCAUUUAUGUAUUUAUUAUUUAUUCAUGUAUUUUGAGUCAGUAUUGUAUUAUGUCUGAAUGCCAUCUAAUUUUUGCCAAGUGUUAGCAGCUCUACGUCCCUCAAUGAGGGAGUGAGGAGCGUAUCUAAAACAAAGUAAACAAAUAACAGUCAGUCACUACUUUAUGUCUCCUUAAUGUAAACAGCUUGACCAAGAUUUGCUAAAAUUUGUAGAACCAUAGAAUCACAGAAUCAUAGAGUUGGAAGAGACCUCAUGGGCCAUCCAGUCCAAACCCCUGCCAAGAAGCAGGAAAAUUGCAUUCAAAGCACUCCUGACAGAUGGCCAUCCAGCCUCUGUUUAAAAGCCUCCAAAGAAGGAGUCUCUGCCACAGUCUGGGGCAGAGAGUUCCAUAGCUGAACAGCUCUCACAGUUAGGAAGUUCUUCCUGAUGUUCAGGUGGAAUCUCCUUUCCUGUACCUUUAAGCCGUUGCUCUGAGUCCUAGUCUCCAGGGCAGCAGAAAUAAGCCUGCUCCCUCCUCCCUAUGACUUCCCCUCACAUAUUUAUACAUGGCCAUCAUGUCUCCUCUCAGCCUUUUCUUAUCUUUAAGCUGCUCCUCACAGGGCUUGUUCUUCAGACCCUAGAUCAUUUUAGUUGCCUUCCUCUGGACACAUUGCAGCUUGUCAACAUCUCCCUUCAAUUGCGGUGCCCAGAAUUGGGCAAAAUAUUCCAGGUGUGGUCUGACUAAAGCAGAAUAGAGCAUUAUUAUUAUUAUUAUUAUUAUUAUUAUUAUUAUUAUUAUUAACCUUAUUUAUAUCGUGUCUUUCUCUACCCUAAGGGGGACUCAACGUGGCUUACAAAGACACUUAUACAGUGCCUUAGAACAUAACAGAAACAUGAGAGAAAAUUGAAUUAAAAUUAAUACAUACAAAAUAGAAUAAAUACAUUUGAAUGUAGCAUGACUUCCCUGGAUCUAGACAAUAUACUCCUAUUUAUGCAGGCCAAAAUCCCAUUGGCUCUUUUACCUGCCGCAUCACAUUGUAGUCUCAUGUUUAACUUGUUGUCCAUGAGGACUCCAAGAUCUUUUUCGCACAUACUGCUGUCGAGCUAGGCGUCCCCCAUUCUGUAUUCCAUUUUUUCUGCCUACGUGGAGUAUCUUGCAUUUGUCCCUGUUGGACUUCAUUUUGUUAGUUUCAGCCCAUCUCUAUAAUCUGUUAAGAUCAUUUUGGAUUCUGCUCCUGUCUGCUAGAGUAUUAGUUAUCCCUCUCAAUUUGGUGUCAUCUGCAAACUUGAUGAUCAUGCCUUCUAACCCUUCGUCUAAGUCAUUAAUAAAGAUGUUGAACAGAACUGGGCCCGGGACGGAACCCUGCGGCACUCCACUCGUCACUUCUUUCCAGGAUGAGGAGGAAGCGUUGAAUUUUGCCUGGUAUCGACGUGAGGCUGACCGGACGGUAAUUGGGUCUUCCUUUUUUCCCUUCUUGAAGAUAGGGACCACAUUUGCCCUCCUCCAAUCUGCUGGGACUUCUCCCGUUCUCCAAGAACUCUCAAAGAUGAUUGCCGGUGGUUCUGAAAUAGCAUCCACUAGUUCCUUCAAUACUCUUGGAUGUAGUUGAUCUGGCCCUGGGGACUUGAAUUCAUUUCGAAGAGGAUUAUGAAGCUACAUUCUGGAAUGACUUGAGAAACUGCAAGUCACUUCUGGUGUGAGGGAAUUGACCGUCUGCAAGGACAUUGCCCAAGGACUCCUGGAUGUUUGAUGUUUUUACAUCCUUGUGGGAGGCUUCUCUCAUGUCCCUGCAUGGGGAGCUGGAGCUGACAGAAGAAGCUCAUCCCCUCUCUCCCCAGAUUCAAACCUGCAACCUUCAGGUCAGCUACCCAACCUUCAAGUCAGCAGUCAUGCCGGCACAAGGGUUUAACUCAUUGCACCACUGGCUGAAUAAAUGAUAUCAUGAGACUUGGGAAACCCAGAAAGAAAGAAAGACACAGUAGUAGGAACGUUAUGCAGUUUUCAUCCAGUGUCCAUACGUUUUGAAGUCUUUCAGGAAAUGGUAUUAGGCAGAAAUGCACAUGUAGGAAUUGUGGGGUUUUGCACACACACAAACAUACACAAAACACUGUUUCCAGACAGGCACAACUGUGCUGUGGCCAAGCUUGCUGUGGUUAUGCAAAAAACAGCAGUACAAAAUUUUUCCACCAGCACAAAAAAUGGGUUCACACUUUUGUUUUGCAAUAUUUUUGUGUUCUGUGCAAGAGGUUUUUUUUUGUUGUGCAGUAUUUUUGUUACAUUGCUGGAGUUUUGUUGGCAGAAAACAACAGUGGUGCACAUUUGUUCCUGCAUAGAAUGAUUUCCUCCCUUAAAAACUACGGGAAUGCUGGGCAAAAAUUGUGCAGAAACAUUUGAUUUCUUGGCAGUGGUGAGAAAACUGGGAGAACACCUUCUCACUUGCCAAAAUGAAACAGUAAAAUAUUAUCAUCCGUAAAAUGUAUAGAAUAUGUCAUUGUCAAUGUACAGUGUAUAGCAUGAUUGGUAAUCAUGGUUUCAUUUGGCUGCAUCUGACAAAAUGACAAAAUAUCUAAGAAUUUCCUAAGGCCCUCCAAAAAAAUCUACAGUAACCUCAACAAUGUAUCUCUUAUAAACGGAUUGCAUUGUACAUGAGAUCUUAAAUUCCACAAAGAAAAAAAAUCUGUAUAUGUCCAGGGUUCAUAUGCCUGCUGAAACAUUGAUCUCUCUGCAUAUAGCAAUACAGUGUUCCCUCACUACUUCGUGGUUCACUUUUCGUGGAUUCGCUGUUUCGUGGUUUUUCAAUAAACUCUAAAAGAUUAUUAUAAAUCAUAAAAAAUUACAAUUUACAGCCUAAGGAAGGGAGGAAGGAGAAGCCAAAGGGAGAGAAAAGGAGCCCAAGCAGCAACAAGAGGAGAAGGAGGCGAUUUACCAACACAUGAUUGGUUGAUAAAGACUUAUAAUAGUAUAUAACUACUAAAAUAAUGUGUAAAUAUUAAAAUAAAUAUAGUGUCCCUACUUUGCGGAUUUUCACUUAUUGCGGGUGGUCCUGGAACCUAACCCCCGCGAUAAGUGAGGGAACACUGUAGCUAAAUAAGGAUUACAAAUAUUUUUAAAUCUAAGAGGGCACCUCUUUAGGAUCUCUAGGUCCUCCAACACAACUCCAUGGUGAACUUUGGGAAAUUGACCAUAUCAUUGCACUGGAUGAUCUACAAAUACCUAGAUAAACUUUUUUUCUAGGAAUCUCUAGGUCCUGUAGUACAACUCUAUAUCAAUUUCUGGUGUUAGUGAUUCCUAGAGUUUAGGGAAUUUAGGUCCAACAUUAUAUAUUCUGGUAUCUUUAUUCUAGUCCAGUGAUUCUCAACUUUUAUUCCACCUGGUGUUUUGGACCUCAGCACUCAGAAUUCUUGACUGUUGGCCAAACUGGCAGGGAUUUCUGGGAAUUUUCCCAAUCUAACAGGUCUUUGAUGCUGGCCCUAGAACCUUGGUAUGCUUAUGUGGGUAUAUGUGUUCUGCCCAGGUCUUAAAUCUGUGGGAUGGUUGCAAGAGUAUGACUACAGAAGAGUGAGAAAAUAUUCUAAAUCAGAACUUAAAUAUUAACCUUAAAAUGAUUGGAUCAUGAGUGAGAGAUAUGAUGUUUGCUGUUAGUUUUAAUUGAUAGAUUAGGGCUGCAUGUUUGUCCCACUAACUUCAACAGAACAUAUUUACAAUGUAUGUGUGUGAUUGCCUUGUUAGUUGUUAAAUCUCCAAAUAAAGGAAAAGAAUUGAAACUUGGUAAACUUUUAUGUUCAGACACACUGCUUCCAAAAAAAGGGACUGCCUUCACUGGACAACAAUUACAGCAGUUGUUCACAAAGUCAUUUUCUCAAGCUGUGUAAGCAACACACUCAAUUUUCAUGAUCAAUGGAGUUAAUGAAUAUUCUUACCUGUAGAAAAAGCAAGCAUUUUAAAUUUCUUUAAAAUGAUCAAUACCAUAUUAUUACUUAAAUGUAAAGGGAAGAGCUUCUACAAUAGCAUUCCUGCUUCCUGCCUUCUGGACCACAAGCCUGUGUUCAUGUUUACAUCAAGGUCGGCGGCAGUUGCUUAAUCGCCAGAGCAAAGAGCAGCAAAGAACAGAAAAGGGAAGCACCACCAUCAGCGCUACAUUUUUAGUUACCAUGAGUGGUUUGCUUUUCCAUCGUGAGACAACACUUCAGUCUUCUACUAGUUAGAGCGAGGAAAUGAUUAGUGCUCUAUUAACUGGUGGGGUCAUUGUUGUAUGUUGUGUAUUUAUGUGUGUUUUUUUCCUUUUCUUUCCCCCCUCCUUUUGUUGACA
Long non-coding RNA from Anolis carolinensis (green anole), 8972 nucleotides. RefSeq lists it as uncharacterized. The transcript has 3 exons. The record is from RefSeq and is a predicted model, not a curated record. NCBI's taxonomy places the organism in Eukaryota, Metazoa, Chordata, Lepidosauria, Squamata, Anolidae.